RNAcentral lists this ribosomal RNA (468 nucleotides) under uncultured bacterium. Its description in RNAcentral is "partial 16S ribosomal RNA". It matches the Rfam family "Bacterial small subunit ribosomal RNA", at positions 28 to 507 of the family's 1533-position model. The record is from RNAcentral.
GACGAACGCUGGCGGCGUGCUUAACACAUGCAAGUCGAACGGAAAGGCCCUGCUUUUGUGGGGUGCUCGAGUGGCGAACGGGUGAGUAACACGUGAGUAACCUGCCCUUGACUUUGGGAUAACUUCAGGAAACUGGGGCUAAUACCGGAUAGGAGCUCCUGCUGCAUGGUGGGGGUUGGAAAGUUUCGGCGGUUGGGGAUGGACUCGCGGCUUAUCAGCUUGUUGGUGGGGUAGUGGCUUACCAAGGCUUUGACGGGUAGCCGGCCUGAGAGGGGUACCGGGCACAUUGGGACUGAGAUACGGACCAGACGCCUACGGGAGGCAGCAGUGGGGAAUAUUGCACAAUGGGCGGAAGCCUGAUGCAGCAACGCCGCGUGCGGGAUGACGGCCUUCGGGUGGUAAACCGCUUUCGCCUGUGACGAAGCGUGAGUGACGGUAAUGGGUAAAGAAGCACCGGCUAACUACGUG